GCGCUCUUAGUUCGGUAGAACGUGGGUCUCCAAAACCCGAUGUCGUAGGUUCAAAUCCUACAGAGCGUG
Molecule: transfer RNA, 69 nt
Filed under: Agrimonia pilosa (hairy agrimony)
Lineage: Eukaryota; Viridiplantae; Streptophyta; Magnoliopsida; Rosales; Rosaceae
Also listed under: 1 other name
Description: tRNA-Trp
Rfam family: tRNA
About the family: Transfer RNA (tRNA) molecules are approximately 80 nucleotides in length.
Source: RNAcentral